GAAGGUAGAUGAUGAAUAAGUUCUUAUCCUACACACUGAAUUAACUGUGGACCUUAAAUCUCCGCUUAUUAUCUGAUGCCUUC
Hevea brasiliensis (rubber tree) is the source of this 83-nucleotide small nucleolar RNA. RefSeq annotates it as small nucleolar RNA R16. Lineage: Eukaryota; Viridiplantae; Streptophyta; Magnoliopsida; Malpighiales; Euphorbiaceae. The record is from RefSeq and is a predicted model, not a curated record. The transcript has a single exon.